Molecule: RNA transcript, 10552 nt
Organism: Limulus polyphemus (Atlantic horseshoe crab)
Lineage: Eukaryota; Metazoa; Arthropoda; Merostomata; Xiphosura; Limulidae
Exons: 7
Source: RefSeq, a predicted model, not a curated record
AAUUUGUAUUUUUGGAGUCAUAGCAUAACACACCCACCGACCCACAUUUGUAUUUUUGAAUAUGAACGUAUGUACAUAUAUAUAUAUAUCCAGAUUUGUAAAAUAUAAGUAAUGUAAAACAAGAAAGUAAGAGCAACUUUUUUCUCUUGAAAAAAAGAAAGACUCUAUAACCAUGUCAUUACUGUAUAUUAGCGAAAUACGUUUUCAUUAUAUCAAAUUAGAUUAAAAUAAACGCUUAUAUUGUAUCAAUUAAAUGUUGGAAUCUGUUUGUCAUAUGGAAAACAGAAUUGGUUUGAAUGAAGGUUCAAAGUGCACCAUCGAUUAGAUAAUAAAUUGAUUAAGAGUUGUAGAGAAACAGAGCCAACCAGAGGGGUCAGCGGUAAAUUUGAAGACAUAUAACACUAAAAUCCACAAUCGAUUAGAUAAUAAAUUGAUUAAGAGUUGUAUAGAAACAGAGCCAACCAGAGGGGUCAGCGGUAAAUUUGAAGACAUAUAACACUAAAAUCCAGAUUCGGAUACCCGUGGUGAAUAUAGCACAUAUAGCCAAUUGUGUAACUUUGCGCUUAGCAACAAAAAAUGAAUAAAAAAUAACUUGAUGAAAAUACCUAUGAAAGUCUACACUUAGUGCAGUGAGUUUUGAUAUUCUAAUAAAAAUGGCUUACUUUGUCGAACAAGUUCCUUUGAGCCCAAACGUCAUUUAGUUUUUAAUUCCUACUAUCCAAAUGAGACUUCAUGUAGCUCCAGAAUUGAACAGGUGGUCUUUUCUUUCAGUAAGAAUGGCAAAAAUUGUUUACUGGUAUAUCGAAAUUAAGCUUUCUAAAGUAGUUUGUUUUUAUCAGUAAACUAACUGUUUUUUUUUAAUAUUUAGAUUAACUUGAGCAAAAACCAGAUGGAGAAUGACUACCUACCUUUGUUGGAAAGUGGGGAAGAACAAAAAAGAGGCUAAAUCUACCUAUCAAACCUAAGAUAUGAACACCGUGGUUUCUAUGACAACAUCUUCAAUCAUAUCUCUGUUUCUUAUAAUCUUUGCCAUCCAAAUACCAGAAGGACUGGCUAUCAACUGUUAUACGUGCAGUUCCCGCAAUGGGACUGACCCCGACUGUCACGACCCUUUCAACCCUGCUAACAGUACCUAUACUGAAAAUUGUAUGGUACCAAAAGAAGGUCACGUUGGGUGGUUUCCUGCAAACUUCUGUCUUAAAGUGAUUGGCAUGACAGGUAUUAGUAACGUGGAGUUAGUGAUCCGUGCGUGUGUCUUGGAGACCAUGCAUAACCAAUGUGGACAGUUCAAGUACGAAGAUGACACUUUACACGGAUGUGUCCUCACCUGCGAUUACGAUGCCUGCAAUGGAAAGCCAUACCUGUCUCCUGGUGGUGAUUUUCUUCAACUCCACUUAGUGGCGCUUGUAAUAAUAGGUUGGAACUGGAAAAGCUAAAAUGGUUUUUCUGUGGCUGUGAAUAUUUGUUGAUUAGUUUACACAAUGCCAAAGGAAAAGUAAAGUUAUUGAAGGCAAGUUUUGUGGAAAAAUUGGUCCAUUCAUUGUUCACAAGACUGCAGGAAAGGAAAGUGUUACAAUGGACCCACAUGUAGAGCAUGGCUUUGUAAUAGAGAUCUAUGUUGUACAACUGACGAAACUUCUAAUCACAUUUCAAACGUUUUAGAUGUUAAAGUCUAUAAAAAAUUUGUUUCAGAAUAAAUAAGACCGAAUAAUAAUGUAUUCGUCGGGUCCAAAAACUGGUGUAUGAAUUUUGCCGUUUUCAGGGAAGAUGUAAAAAGUUCCAUGUUAGUUUAAAGAAGUAAAUAAAUCAAGUCAUAAAAUAACUUGAAGUGUGAAGUAAACUAUAAAAAAGAUGAAACUAUAAUAAUCAAACUACGUUUUAGAACUAUAUUUUUGCGUCAAACCAUGAGUGUUACAUCAGUGUAAUUUACAUUUUAAUUUUUCAAAUCUGUGUUAUAUGUGGGUCAACAUUUACAGUGAAUACGUGACUCUCCGUGUAAAUUCGAUCGUUUAAAGUUGGUUAGCUUUUUUUUUGUAUUGAUUAAAUCACCUUCUCGAUUCGUUAGAAUCACCUGACAUGCUUUCACAAAAACUGUUUUAUUUUAUUGAUACAUAUACAGUUAUCUAACUCUGAUUGAUUUCGUAAAUUAGUUGAACGGUUUCUUCUGACACGAACUUGAACGUAUUCGUUUGUUAUAGGGUUUCUUUUUCGCUUUAACAUUUUCAGAAUUAUUUUGAUGUACUAUCACUACAACAGGGCCAGUAAAUAAAUAUGUUCUAAAUUUUUCAUGUUCAAAAAUCUAAAACUGGCAUGUUAAAAUAUCUAAUAAAUCAUUAUUUGUAUUCGUCGUUCACAGACCUAAAAAAAUUCCAGUAUUGAAUAAGUCUAAACUUAAGUACUCAUAAGUAUGCAGAGAGGGCCCCUCUGGCUAACAAGUUUACUUAGCUUCUACGAACUUUAUAGGCCUGAUUUCCAUUCGGUCCACAUCGCUCCAUUGGUAGUAAAAACAUCAGCUGUUUAUACCGUAUUUGUCAUGUUGUGCUUGCUGUAUGUUAAGUUACUAUAGUCUUAUGAAGCUAGGCGGUUUGUCUACAAUGCUAUUGGUUGUUAGCAUGGAUAAAAUGUCUUACAAACAGUCUGUAUAUAAAGUUCAAGUCCAACCGAUAUCCUCGGCUUGUCUUAGUAAAUGCGGACUUGUGUAUUGUUUAUUGCUUUACUUCUUUUUUUUUCCGGCGAUUAAUCUUUGUUUUACAAUAGGAUAACUUUAUGGAGUAUUCAAGUUGUGCGUGCUUUGAUGAACAAUAAGAAACUUUGUUUCUGUACAUCGGUUAACUAAUCUAGAAACAGUUACAAUAAACUAUGAAAGUAAUAACACUGAGUGUUAGUUAAUUAAACUCCUUAUUGCUCGGAACGUUGUUUUCCAUAGAAGUUUAUUUUUUAGCCUCGAAGAGAAUAACAGAUCGCAGUACUUUCUUUUUGAUUUUACAGGAUCAACAGACAAAAUUGUUCGUAUUGGUUAUAUUUGGGUCAAAAUUAACUAAUUAUCACAUAGAAGUAAACUGCGGUUAUUUACACUUAUGACGGUGUCGCAUUGUUGUCUAUGGUCUUUUGCUUAAACUUAUAGUAAUGACACAUUGUUGUAUACGGUUUGUCACUUAAACUCAUUGUAAUGGCACAUUGUUGUACAUGGUCUGUCACUUAAACUUAUAGUAGUGACACAUUGUUGUAUACGGUUUGUCACUUAAACUCAUUGUAAUGGCACAUUGUUGUACAUGGUCUGUCACUUAAAGUUAUAGUAGUGACACAUUGUUCUAUACGGUUUGUUUGAAUUAACUGACCUGAUUUCUUUUCGAUAUGAUGAGGAUUCUCAAAACGAAAUUCAAUCAUGUAAUUAAUAAAGUUUUUAUUGUAGAUACAAUUUGGAGUGAAAAUAAUGCAGGAAUUGGUGUUUAUAUAUAUAUAUAUAUAAUACUUGUUUUCACCUGCAAUUUGCAGCUAUACAGAAGGAAAUUUCGAAACAAAUGUUAAGUUCGGAUUGAAAAUAUUUUAUUGCAAAAGAAAUAAUUUGUUUCUAAUAUUUCCUAUACUUUUCAACAUGUAUUUUACUUGUGUUGUGUGGUGGGCAUUUAAAAUGAGGCAUUUGACAGUUACUUAUAUUUACUCUGCGGACUUACAACGCUAGAAACCGGGUUUCGACACCCGUGGUGGGCAGAGCACAGAUAGCCCAUUGUGUAGCUUUGUGCUUAAUUACAAACAAACAAUACUUAUAUUUACACUACGUUUAAAUGUAACAUGUAACUGCAAAUUCAUUUCAUUGUAAAGUAAUAACUUUUGUACAUCUAUACAAAUUAUUACGUAAUAUAUAUAUAUAUAUAUAUAACUAUUUGUGUAAUAAUAAUUUUACUGUCAAUAACAAGAGAACACAGUGUUUAACAACUAUUCAUGAUUCGAAUAAAAACUAAAUUAUUGAUGAUAAUUGUGUCGCGAAAGUAAAAAAAAAUAAAGAAGCAGAAUCUUAAUAGAGGCACACAAAAUAUUUUUAUGACAGGCAAUAUUACGAUUUAUGAUGAACAAUGAAGGUUUUACAUGUGAAGCAUUCCGUAACGAGAACGUGUCUAGACGUGUUAAGAAUUGUUGGUGUGUCACAGAGCCUCAAGGUGCUGAAGAUCUUUGUUUUAAUAGAAAAUUCGUCCUAGGUUUUGAUUUGGAUGAUCUACUACUGUGGAUUGUUUGUAUCCGAAUUUCAGUUUUUUGAAAACGUGCUAUUUGAAAUGUAUAUAUUACCUGUAGUUUGCAUAGCUGGUGGUCACUGGCAAUGUUUAAAGACAAUUAUCUGUCCUGUCACAACCGGAAUGUGGUUGUUUCUAAUUUAUAGGCAGAUAAUUAGAUGUUUUCAUUGAAGGUUGGAAUGGAAACGUACAAGAAAAUUGAUUGGCUAUCUCGAUGCUAAAAGGAGAGUGUUUUCCCAUUUAACUUUAUUUAUUCACGAAAAACGAAAUUAAAUAUAUGUUCUCCGAAUAGUUCCGAGUGUUGACUAAACAAAUUGUUGUAUCUAUUUAUAUAUAUAUAUAUUGCUUUAGUAACAUCCGCUGUAGAUUAUUUUUAAACAAAUUAUCCUAAAAUUUUCGAGUGCCUUAGCUUAGGCUAUAUUUUCAGUUCAUUUUGAGGUUUUUGCUAUUGAACGUAUUUUGUUAAACACUACACUUUCCAGUUGUUUAAAGUAUUAGUAAUCUUAAGUGGAUUAGUAACUGUAGCGUAAGUUCGUUAAUGAGUAUAUAUAUUUCAAAGACAUACGUGUAACGCCAGUUUAAAAAGGAUAAGCAAACGCCUCUUGUGAUUAAACUGAGGACUUAAGUUUUCAUUUUUGAAACUAAAUUUAUAACCAUUGUAGUGGAUUAAGUUGUCUUAAGAUUUCACUUGCCACCAAUAAUAGAAGAGCGUGAUCUAAAACGUAGAUGACUAUGAUUAGAGCGAUUUAACACUUUGCUUGUAAAGAAAGGCGAGUUCGUAUUAUACAUAAAUUUUGUAAUUGAGAGUAAAGAAUAAUAAUCACUUCUCAUAGAAUUAUGUUCUUUAAAAAAAGAGAUAAAUAAAUACUUUAAAAUCGCUAUAAUAAUAUAGUCUUGCUGCACGGGUUAACUUAAUGGAUUAACCGUACAGAUUUAACGCUACAAAGAUAAUGUAAAAAGCCUUGCUCCCUGAGCUAAGCCUAAUAAAUUAACAUUGCAUAUCUAACGCUACAGAGAAAUAAUAAAAUAAGCCUUACUACAUGAAUUAAUCCUGAUAAAUCAAACGUAUACAUUUAAUGAUACAAAGACAAUAAUGUUGAAAACCUUGUUCCACAUGUUAAUCCUAAUAAAUUAAUCCCACAUACCUAACAUUACAGAGAUAAUAAUAUCAAAAUCCUUAUUGCAUGGAUUAAUUCUAAAGCUUCGAAUACAUUCACCCAGAUCUAACACGUGAGGAAAAAUAAUAAAUACAGAUGCACUACAAAAUAAUAAGAGGAUAAACACAGAAACACCACAAGAUGUUAACGGGAUAGAAUCAAAAUAUAGAUUUAGUACAAAAUAAUAAUAGGUGAGAUAAUAGCGAAAUAAAUGUGCACUAUAAAAUAAUAACAGGUAAAAUAAUAGCUAAAUACAGAUUCUUUACAAAAUAAUAACAGUCUGUAUGUAGAAGAGGUGAGAUAAUAGUAAAUAAAGUGCACUACAAAAUAUAAACAGGAAAUACAAUAGUAAAUAAAGUGCACUACAAAAUAUAAACAGGAAAUAUAAUAGUCAAUAAAGUGCACUACAAAAUAUAAACAGGAAAUAUAAUAGUAAAUAAAGUGCACUACAAAAUAAAAUAGGAGAGAAAAAUAGUAAAUAAUGUGCACUACAAAAUAGAACAGGAAAUAUAAUAGUAAAUAAAGUGCACUACAAAAUAAAACAGGAAAGAUAUUAGUCUUUGGGUAAAGGCGCUAUAAAAGAACUACUUUAUUAGUAGGAAGACAUUAUAGUACGCAAUGUUUAUUAAAUAUUCGAUUUCAAAACGCAAGCAUGUUUAUUAAGUGUGUAAAAAUAAAUCUUAAGUUCUCUAUCGUGUUCUUCUUGUUUCUUCCAUUAUUAAACACCUCGUACUCUAGAUAACAAACACAAAAUCACACCUGUAAGAAUGCCUUAACAUCAAUGAUGGGUGUGACCUAAUGAUUAGUGUGGCAGACUAUAGGUCGAAAGGUCCAAGAUUCGAGUCCGCAAAAUGCUGCUGAACACUUUCAGCUAUGAGCGUUAUUUAACUGAUUAUGUUCGUGUUAGAGGCUGUUGACUGGUUACACUAUUUGAUUAAUUAUGUUCGUGUUAAAGGCUGUUGACUGGUUACGCUAUUUGAUCAAUUAUGUUCGUGUUAGAGGCUGUUGACUGGUUACCUUUCGUAUUUACAGCAUUUGUAAAUCGUUCGCAAUCUGCAGGUUGCGGGUUCCAAUCCCAUUACCGAGUAUAUCUGCUCUUUCAGACGUGGUGGUGUUUUAGUAUGACGGUAAGUCUCACUAUUCGAUUGGUCUAUCACGUGUAUAUUAGAAACAGCUAAAGCAGAUAGCCCUGGAGCAGCUUUGCGCGAAAUUCAACAAAAGAACAAAGAGAUUUAACCUUGGGGUCACUGAUCUGGCCUUUUAGCCCAUGUGUCACACGAAGUACGAAAUACCUUAAAUUAAACGCAUGUCACAAAAAUCUGCAUUAUUUCACUUCAAAUAAUCUCGAAAGAUAAUCAUUUCCAGAGAACCUAACCUGUAAUUUCAAACAUUGUAAAUACGCACUAAAGACGAGAUUUGGCAUUUAACUAUUUGAAAUGAUGCUGUGUUGCAUUAAAGAUUACAAACAGGCAAAAUGGUUCACUGUAUCGCAUUAAGUAUCAUAAACAGACUCAUAAUAAACAAAACUUACGGUGAAUUGAAAGAUAAAAAAAAACAAUUAUGAAUAUAAAUUAACAAAGAAGAUAAAAAACAACAACUAAUAUUGUAAUGUAAAAUGAAUCUACUUAAUUGUAUGAUAUAACAAUACAUACUUUCUUUGAAUCCAUGAAUCUACUUAAUUGUAUGAUAUAACAAUACAUACUUUCUUUGAAUCCAUGAAUCUACUUAAUUGUAUGAUAUAACAAUACAUACUUUCUUUGAAUCCAUGAAUCUACUUAAUUGUAUGAUAUAACAAUACAUACUUUCUUUGAAUCCAUGAAUCUACUUAAUUGUAUGAUAUAACAAUACAUACUUUCUUUGAAUCCAAUUAUAUCAACACUCUCAUCGUUUUUACAAACAGUCCGACUUGAAAUUUAUUUUCUACAGAGAAUGUAAUUUCUAAGGGCUGCGGAUUGGCCUGUGUAGAGCUCUAGAUUUUGAAUCUGGCGAGUAGCUAUGAAUCCAUGUGGCACCACAAAAUAUUCCCCCCACUUUAAGCUGUGAGUGCGGGUGACAUGGUGCUGCAGACUGGCUGCCUUCCCCCUGGUUAGUAAUCGAAAACAGGGAAGGCGCCAAAUAGUCCUAAUAGUUUAGCCAUAAAUACAAAUACAAUAUUUUAAAGGUCUGUCGUGGUAAUACUAGUGGUUCAACCCUAUAAUAGAGCAAUUACUUUUGAUAGAAGAUGUAGAUAAAUGUAAAAAUAAAAAACCAACAACAACAAAGAAUGGGUACAAUACAGAAUAAUAAACAAUAGCAAAAUAACUAAAAUAUUAAUGACUGAUGCCCGAGAUAACCUAGUGAGUAGUGUAUCCAAUAGUUUCGGUUCGAAAGGCUGUGUUUCUAAACAAGCUUCUUUCUGCUUUAGGUGCAAUAUACGAGUUACUGUUAAUACCAGUAUUCGAAUAAAGUUUCGGGUGGUAUGCAUUUACAUCGUGCAGAAGACAUGGGCGUCCGCAAAAGUAUUUCCAGGGAGGAGCAAAGUUUUCCAAGGGGAGCAAAGUAGUGUGAAACUGCGAACUGAAUAAAAAAUUCAUAUACAUAUGCUGAAUGAAUAAAGAAAAAAUUGUGUUUCUCAUUUUCCAAGGGGGAAAAGCCCCCUUUGCGGACGCCCAUGGCAGAAGAAGAAGUUAUCGUUGAAGUUUUGUGAGGUUUUAGUAUUUCAGGACUUCUUUCUUGUAGGAAGAGUAAUGUUAGUAACCUUAUUAAUGGAGUUUUUGAUCUUGCGGGAAAAUUGGAAUUAUUAUUAAUUUGGAGAGGUUUUCAGAAGAAGAGAUUUUCUGCGAUUUUAAGGAUAGGGAGAUUUAUUAUAGUUAUAUGAGGUUCUGAUCUUAAAUAAGGAUUCUGUCUUUAUUCUUAACAUAGGAGGCCCUGAUUUGGAAGAAGGAGAAUGCAUUUAAUCCUCGUUAUAGGAGGUUCUGAUCCUAUAAGCAGAGACUGCAUUUACUUUUAAUAUAGGAAGGUUUGAUCUUGAAGGAGACUGCAUUUACUUUUAAUAUAGGAGGGUUUGAUCUUGAAGGAGCCUGCAUUUACUUUUAAUAUAGGAAGGUUUGAUCUUGAAGGAGACUGCAUUUACUUUUAAUAUAGGAAGGUUUGAACUUGAAGGAGACUGCAUUUACUUUUAAUAUAGGAGGGUUUGAUCUUGAAGGAGACUGCAUUUAUUUUUAAUAUAGGAGGGUUUGAUCUUGAAGGAGACUGCAUUUACUUUUAAUAUAGGAAGGUUUGAACUUGAAGGAGACUGCAUUUACUUUUAAUAUAGAAGGGUUUGAUCUUGAAGGAGACUGCAUUUACUUUUAAUAUAGGAGGGUUUGAUCUUGAAGGAGACUGCAUUUACUUUUAAUAUAGGAGGGUUUGAUCUUGAAGGAGACUGCAUUUAUUUUUAAUAUAGGAGGCUCUGAUCUUGGAGAAGAAAACUACAUUUAUUCUUACUAUAGAAUAUUUUGAUUUUGUAGAAGAAUGAUACUUUCUUUUUUGAUGCGUGAAAUUUCCAUGCUUAAGGAGCUUUGCUACUUCUAGUUGCCCAGGUUCUUUGCUAGUCUUAGUUGUCCAGAUUCUUUGUUAGUUCUAGUUGUCCAGGUUCUUUGCUAGUUAUAGUUCUCCAGGUUCUUUGCUGGUUCUAGUUGUCCAGGUUCUUUGUUAGUUCUAACUAUCCAGGUUCUUUGUUAGUUCUAGUUGUCCAUGUUCUUUUUUAGUUCUAACUAUCCAGGUUCUUUGUUAGUUCUAGUUGUCCAGGUUAUUUGUUAGUUCUAGUUGUCCAGGUUCUUUGUAGUUCUAGUUGUCCAGGUUCUUUGUUAGUUCUAAUUGUCCAGGUUCUUUGUUAGUUCUAGUUGUCCAGUUCUUUGCUAGUUUUAGUUGUCGAGGUUCUUUGCUAGUUCUAGUUGUCCAGGUUAUUUGUUAGUUCUAGUUGUCCAGGUUCUUUGCUAGUUCUAGUUGUCCAGGUUCUUUGUUAGUUCUAGUUGUCCAGGUUCUUUGUUAAUUCUAGUUGUCCAGGUUCUUUGCUAGUUCUAGUUGUCCAAAUUAUUUGUUAGUUCUAGUUAUCCAGGUUCUCUUUUCAAACAGAUUUCCCUCUCUUCAGGAAGAUGAGUUUUAUUAUACAAAAUUUUCUUCAUUUCACUUUGAACAACGAAAAGUCUUGACUAAAAUAAACAUUCCAUUAGAUCCAACAAGCAAAUCUUACAAUAUGUAUUAUCAUAAGCAUGAUAAACAAAACCUAUGCUUUUAUUCCACUUAAAUUUGUUUUCGCCACCAAUUGAGCUGCUGGCUUUGAAAAAAAAAAAAGGCUUUAAACGGUGAUGGUUGAUGUAGGGGUAGUAAUCGUUCCAUUAUCUGAAAGAACAACAUCUGUACUUGGGUCCUAGUACAAGCAUCACAUUAACAAAAGUUGUGAAAAAAAAAAAACCGACUCGCUUACCGACAAACCAGAGUUGCGCAACAAACUAACCUAUUCAAAUUUUUUCCUAAUAUGGUGAAGUUAAAGUUGUUUGACAUUAAAUUAUGAUAUAGUACAUAGAUGCGGCAGAGGCGGAUCUCGGUUUUAUUAGAACGAAACCCCCACCCUCCUCCAGGGGGCUAAUGGCUUGCGUGAUUCAUCUACAGAGGGCCGAACACGAUGGGCCGUAUAAAAUCGUAUAGCACGGCUUACUGUACUACUGUCCUGAAAUUUCAGUCACGUUUCGGUUAAGAAGUGUUUUGUACGAAAGUGAACAGCAGAAAUUUUUGUUUGAAUUCAUUACCAGAUCCGAGACAUGUACGUCGUGGUUUCCAAGGCAACACCUCCAGGUUUUUAUUUUUGUUUAGUGAUUUUCGCUCUCCUAGCAACAAGCGGGGAUGGAAUAAACUGCUAUACAUGUAGUUCCCGCAACAAGUCCGACCUCAGUUGUCACGAGCCUUUCGUACCGGCCAACAGCACAUACACUGAAAAUUGCAUGGUGCCAACAGAAGGCCGCAUCAGACUUUCUCCUGCACACUUCUGCCUGAAAGUACUGGGAAAGACAGCCAUGAAUAACGAGGAAGUGGUAAUCCGCGCAUGCGUAAGAGAACCCAUGGAAAACCAGUGUGGAGUGUUCAAGUAUGGUGAAGAUACCUUCAAAGGGUGUAUUGUCACGUGCGAUUACGAUGGUUGUAACGGAA